GGCAGUGUAGUAUGGUGGUAAGGAGUAUGGCUUAUAACCAAAAGGUUGCUGGUUCAAUUCCCUGCUGUGGCA
Molecule: non-coding RNA, 72 nt
Organism: Megalops atlanticus (tarpon)
Lineage: Eukaryota; Metazoa; Chordata; Actinopteri; Elopiformes; Megalopidae
Source: the annotation of a GenBank genome assembly